GUACGCUGGCGGCACGCCUAACACAUGCAAGUCGAACGAAGUAGCAAUACUUAGUGGCAGACGGGUGAGUAACAUGUGGGUAUCUGCCCUUUGGCCUGGAAUAACACGAGGAAACUUGUGCUAAUACCGGAUAAGUCUUUACAGAGAAAGCUUUAUGCACCAUUGGAUGAGCCUGCACUUGAUUAGUUUGUUGGUAGGGUAAUGGCCUACCAAGACUGUGAUCAAUAGCUGAUUUGAGAGGAUGAUCAGCCACAUUGGGACUGAGACACGGCCCAAACUCCUACGGGAGGCAGCAGUGGGGAAUCUUGCACAAUGGAGGAAACUCUGAUGCAGCGAUGCCGCGUGAGUGAAGAAGGCCUUUGGGUUGUAAAGCUCUUUCGUCGGGGAAGAAAAUGACUGUACCCGAAUAAGAAGGUCCGGCUAACU
RNAcentral lists this ribosomal RNA (426 nucleotides) under uncultured bacterium. RNAcentral's name for it is "bacterial SSU rRNA". It matches the Rfam family "Bacterial small subunit ribosomal RNA", at positions 31 to 502 of the family's 1533-position model. The record is from RNAcentral.